AAUUAUCAACCUUGAAGGCUUUCGUGGCUUUUCUCGGCUUGGAUGUGAGGGCUUGCUGGCUUCCUUCAGUGGAUUGGUCUGCUCCCUUCAAAUGCAUUAGCGGGAUCUCUUGUGGACCGUCACUGGGUGUGAUAAUUAUCUACGCUCUGUGACUUUGAAGCAAACUCUAUGAGAACCUGCUCAUAACCGUCCUUCGGGACAACUUCAAUCUUA
This 213-nucleotide unclassified non-coding RNA is filed under the name uncultured Tricholomataceae. Its description in RNAcentral is "sequence contains ITS2". Lineage: Eukaryota; Fungi; Basidiomycota; Agaricomycetes; Agaricales; Tricholomataceae. The record is from RNAcentral.